AGGGGCUUAGGAUAACAUCAGACCAGGGGCCUUCAAAGCCCCAAGCGGAAGUGAGAAUCUUCCAGCCUCUG
Molecule: transfer RNA, 71 nt
Filed under: Eviota prasina (green bubble goby)
Lineage: Eukaryota; Metazoa; Chordata; Actinopteri; Gobiiformes; Gobiidae
Description: tRNA-Trp
Rfam family: tRNA
About the family: Transfer RNA (tRNA) molecules are approximately 80 nucleotides in length. Their secondary structure includes four short double-helical elements and three loops (D, anti-codon, and T loops).
Source: RNAcentral